CAGCAGGCAAAAUCUCUCUUACAAAGUUAUUUGUGCAGACAAACUGUUAUGGAUUAUUGCUCUCCCUUUUUGGACACCUCCUUUACUGUGAACAAGCUGAGUGAUGACAAUGAUCAGUAUAAGCACAACAGCAGACCCUUUUCUAAUCUUUUUAUUUCUUGGAUGUGAAGACAUGGAUGGAAAGGAUUUGCAGGAAGGCAUGGGUGGGAUUUGCAAGCUGACAAGACUUUCUGAGGAUCUGCAAUGUAAAAGAGCCAAGGGAGCAAGAAGAUAUUUAGUGGUGGUAGAGAGUUCACUGUUUCACCUGCAUGCUGUGGCACACUGAGGCACAGACUCAGGGGGGUGAAGCUGAGACAAGUUUAUUGGAGUCUCAGCACUGCUUUUAUAACCCAACACCAACAGACAAUCAUACCUGGUAAGGUAAAAGCUGUGACCACAGCGUCUGAUUGGCUGGUAGAUGUCAUGGCAGUUGGAACAGCGGUUGAAAUGGCAGUUUUAGGAGUUGCAGCUCAUCCCUGUAACGAGCCACUCCGUUCUCUGCAAAGGAGUUUCAGGAGGUGUUACUUUGUUCCUGGUGAUGCUCCAUCAGAGCUGCUCUGAGGAGACGCUCUGGCUGACACGCAGCUCGAGCCUUGGCUCUUGACCCAGAAACAUUCCUGCCAAAUGCCUGGCCACUGAGUUCCUGCUCCCCAGUGCCAGCAACUUGCUCUUUGCAAGGUUGCCAUGCAUAAAGAAAAGGACAUGAGAGACUCUAGGACUUCUCUGAAAAGACAGGCAGCUGACCUGAAGCAGUAAAUACGUGUGUGCCCGCAUCAGGUACUCGAGUUACCUCAGUGACUUCUGUUCUCUCCUGUUCCCGCUGUCAACACCAACACAGGGGCGACAGCAGAAAGAUGUCAGAGUUACCCAUCAGUUUGCCUGUAUCUUGCAGCUUGGCAAGAAGAAGUAUCAAUCAAGUGGGUGCCUGAGGAGCUUUCUCAGCUCUGAUAGCUUCCUGUGGGACUGUGCUCAUCUUUCAUCGGAUGUAUGUUUGAUAGUAAGCCAAAAAGGAGAAUUACUUACACUUAGCUACUGGCAGGGAUUUGUUGCACUGUGGCCUAUUUUAAGCAUCUAAAAGCAUGUGUAAGACACUCUAAAAUGGCUUGAUUUUAGGUUUUGUGUGUGUUGUUGCCAGAUAGGACCUGCUCAAUCAUUUGUCUGAACUCUUAGACAGUGGCAAAACUAUACUCAGUGAAAUAGAUUGUACUGUUUGUACUCCUUGUGUGAGUGGUUAAAAUCUGGGCUUCUUAAAGGCAGGACAGCUCUGAGAGGAAAGUCUCCUUGCCCUGCACAGAACUGGCUAUCAGAAGUGAGACUGUUCAGCACAGCUUCUUCUGUGGCCCCUGGGGAAGCGAAGGGGAUGAGUUGGGUGCUGUUCGUACUGCUGAGAUUUGAGGGAGCAGCACAAGGUCCAGGGUGGAGGCAACGUGUGGAGACCCCAGUCUGGAAACACCAAACCUGGAGCUACAAAGGUGGAUCUGAACCCUUCUGCUGGGGCAGACAAUUCUGGCAAUGUCAGGACAUGGCACCAGUCUGAGCCAUGAUGUUUCAUGGGCUGGAAGCUCAACCUCAGAAAAUAGGGAUUAUCAAGUCAGAUACUCUGUUCUCUCUGUAAAUAUUUAUGAGCUCACUGUGUAGAGAAGAGUCAGGUAAUGGUGUUGUUAUUGGCAUGGAGCAUUUGAAGGACCUGGGUGUGAGUGUCAGGCAACACCUAAAGCUCUUGUGAUUUUAGGAUAUUAGCAGAGCCUGGAAAGGAGAAGAUUGUGAUUUUCUUGCUGAUAUGAAGUGUUGAAAGCAAACCACCCUAUAAUGGGAACAUUAACCAUGAAGGUACAGGUAUUGAUUGCCCUUAUGUUGGAGAGUAAGAGUGGUGUUCUUGCCACAGUCCUUCUCUUUCUUUUCCCAUAUCCAUGAAAUAAGGGCAAUCUCUUGCCUGUUCUUCUUCCUAGGGGUAACGGAAGGAUAUUUGUCCUGUACUUUGAGCUGGUGUUUGGACACCGUGUGAUAUGGAUAGGCAUUAACUGGCCAAAUCCCACUAGGCUUAUCUUGUCCUCAAAGAGAUUCCCAAGGCUGAAUCUCCUGGCUAAAAUAAGUAUUGCUCAGAUAUGAAUAGGGCCCCUUCAGUUGGUUGAUGAGGUUGAAGGUUGGCAGCAGUGACUGCAGCUGGCUCAUUCCUUGAGGAGGCAAUGCCAGGCAGGACUUUGUCACUAAGUGACUGAUACUAUCACCUCCACCCUGCUCUCCUCCCUCAAGCUAAAGCUUUCCAUGGAAAAUUUAGCUGGGCUGGCUCUGGCUGAGGCUUCAGGCAUAGAAACAUUCUUGCGCUCCUGCUGCGUUCAGGUCUUUAAUAAAGCACAGCAGUGAGUUUACAGUCUGGCUAGUGUGGCUUUCUAGUGAUUGAUGAAUGUGAAAAGUUGGCUUUUGCCCCCAAAAUAGUGGUUACUAUUUUCUUUACAGUCAUGUCUGGCAUGUUCAGGUUACAGAGAAGGGGUGACUCAGCUCUAUCAACAUCUGAACUGCCUUACAACAUUGUCUGUCCCUUCAUUAGGCACGUAAAGACUCGAGCAGACUCAAGGAGCUCAGUGCCUGCCAUUAGCUGGGUUGAAUCUUGACCAUGGUGAGAGGCAGCUUCUCUCUGACUCAGUGAUAAACCACUCACAAGUUAGGCUGGCACUAAA
Molecule: long non-coding RNA, 2717 nt
Organism: Pseudopipra pipra
Lineage: Eukaryota; Metazoa; Chordata; Aves; Passeriformes; Pipridae
Exons: 3
Source: RefSeq, a predicted model, not a curated record